Molecule: transfer RNA, 73 nt
Filed under: Canis lupus familiaris (dog)
Lineage: Eukaryota; Metazoa; Chordata; Mammalia; Carnivora; Canidae
Also listed under: 1 other name
Rfam family: tRNA
About the family: Transfer RNA (tRNA) molecules are approximately 80 nucleotides in length. Their secondary structure includes four short double-helical elements and three loops (D, anti-codon, and T loops). Further hydrogen bonds mediate the characteristic L-shaped molecular structure. tRNAs have two regions of fundamental functional importance: the anti-codon, which is responsible for specific mRNA codon recognition, and the 3' end, to which the tRNAs corresponding amino acid is attached (by aminoacyl-tRNA synthetases). tRNAs cope with the degeneracy of the genetic code in two manners: having more than one tRNA (with a specific anti-codon) for a particular amino acid; and 'wobble' base-pairing, i.e. permitting non-standard base-pairing at the 3rd anti-codon position.
Source: Rfam by way of RNAcentral
GCUUGGCUGACUCAUUUGGUAGAGUAUGCAACUCUUGAUCUCAGGGUCAUGAGUUCAAGCCUCAUGUUGGGUG